UCCACUGUCCUUCUGUGUUCAUCCAGAGAACCCAACCAGAACUCCACGAUGAGAGCUCUCUACCUUGCCUUGGCCAUCGUGAUGUUGGUUGUCACCGACAUGGCUGUUGCAGGAACCUGUAAGAAGCGCACCUGCAGUAGCUAUGGAGGCAUGUGUGGCACUCACUGCCUGAAGACUCGACACUACCACACCUGCGACUGCGGUAGUGCCGUCUGCUGUGUACCUGACAUGAAAGGCUGAGCAGGAGGCAGGCCGCCUCACGAGGAGGAGCUGGAGACCCUGUCCUUCACCACUCAGCUGUGUAGAGGGGCCCAUCAUGGAUGCUUCUCCUCAAUAAAUUGACAUGAACGUC
Podarcis muralis (Common wall lizard) is the source of this 352-nucleotide long non-coding RNA. RefSeq lists it as uncharacterized. NCBI's taxonomy places the organism in Eukaryota, Metazoa, Chordata, Lepidosauria, Squamata, Lacertidae. The record is from RefSeq and is a predicted model, not a curated record.